ACCUACAUUAUAUUUUAUACCAAAAACACAACUUAAAACCACAAAUAGUACUUAAACACACAUAUACUUAAUCCAAAACACACAAAUACUUAAUCCAAAACACACAAAUACUUAAGUUUUAAAAUACGCAAGUCUAAAAGUACGAUCAAAUAUCAAACAAGUAAUCAAAAAUCAUCAUCCUCAAGUCCAUCCUCAAAUGCGUCAUCCCCAUCUUCACCAAUGUCCUCUUCCAUCUCAUUCACUUCCCUCUCCUCAUCCGCAUCUUCAUCCUCAUCUAAAAGCCUUCUCGAACUCGAAGCAACUACACUCUUUCCUUUAUCAACUCUAGAUGCCCGUCUAGUGCUAUAAAUAGGAUCAUUAGCUCCCGAAGCCUUACUAACGACAUUCCAUGUCAAAUCACCAUCCUCAAACACAAGAUCAUCUUCAUUAGAAGAUUCCCCAUCCAUAUGUCCAACCAACCAUUCAUUGCUAUCAUCAAUCUCUUCUAAUAGAAUAGGAUCUAUUGUGUCUUUCCUCUUGUAUCGCCUUUCCAAA
Molecule: long non-coding RNA, 534 nt
Filed under: Salvia miltiorrhiza (redroot sage)
Lineage: Eukaryota; Viridiplantae; Streptophyta; Magnoliopsida; Lamiales; Lamiaceae
Description: long non-coding RNA (SMIL_LNC001270)
Source: RNAcentral